RNAcentral lists this transfer RNA (72 nucleotides) under Camelus bactrianus (Bactrian camel). It matches the Rfam family "tRNA". Rfam says of the family: Transfer RNA (tRNA) molecules are approximately 80 nucleotides in length. Their secondary structure includes four short double-helical elements and three loops (D, anti-codon, and T loops). Lineage: Eukaryota; Metazoa; Chordata; Mammalia; Artiodactyla; Camelidae. The record is from Rfam by way of RNAcentral. RNAcentral also lists the same sequence under 2 other names.
GAAGGUAUAGCUCAGUGGUGGAGUGUGUGCUUAGCAUGCGCGAGGCACUGGGUUCAAUCCCCCGCACCUGCG